GAGGCCUGGGGUUGGCCUGACGCCUUAGGGCCCGAGGGACUUGGAGAGACAUUCAGGAAGCCCUGAGGUGGGAGGUUUGGGACACAACCUGAGUCUCCUCAGAGCACCUUCGACUCUGGAGGCCACGUGUGACGGCCUGGCACAGGGCUGUGAGAGAACAUACUAUUUAAUAUCAAAUCAAAUUCUCCAUGUUACCUACUCAAAUCAUAAGCUUCUGAAGAAAAUGCUCUGUAAAUUCUCAGCAGAGUAUGCUUUCAAAAAGUCUUUAAAAACAAUUAAGCCAUAA
Long non-coding RNA from Cebus imitator (Panamanian white-faced capuchin), 286 nucleotides. RefSeq lists it as uncharacterized. The record is from RefSeq and is a predicted model, not a curated record. NCBI's taxonomy places the organism in Eukaryota, Metazoa, Chordata, Mammalia, Primates, Cebidae. The transcript has 2 exons.